Molecule: long non-coding RNA, 631 nt
Filed under: Heterocephalus glaber (naked mole-rat)
Lineage: Eukaryota; Metazoa; Chordata; Mammalia; Rodentia; Bathyergidae
Description: lncRNA (ENSHGLG00000048652.1)
Source: RNAcentral
CUUGUGCCUUACACUGCCAGGGGCUACUUGAUGGCCUCAUUUAUAAGAAUUUACCCUGCAACUUAAAUGACCAAACAAACACCAGCCCUACAACAGAGAGACAGAGCUUGGUGCCUCAUGAACCUUUGGUUUGGCUCAUCCCACUGAUGACACAUGAAGAGAUAAAUGCAGGAUGCAAUGUUUCCAUGCAAAAUUGUUUCCACCAUUCUGAAGUUACUAAAAGCCCAAGGAUGGACCAAGGCCUUUUCUACAUGCUCUUCCCACCUGCUGGUCGUGGCGCUGUUUUUUUGGAUCUGCUAGCAUUACUGACUUCAGAUCAAAGUCCAACCAUUCUGCAGGAACUAACAAACUGCUGUCUCUCUUCUACACUAUCCUGGCUCCCAUGUUCAACCCCAUGGUAUACAGCCUCAGGAACAAGGAUGUCAUUGUGGCACUGAGAAAAAUAUUUCUUAAAACACAGUGCCAUGGUUCUCCUUGAAGUUUUGGUCAUAUAGCUGUCAGAGAAAUAUUUCAAUGCUCUACAGUCUCCCUUUGAGCACUUAAUGUGUUUUUAUUACAUUUAUAUAUUGGCUUGCAAUUUGCUGUGCCUGGAUGCAGAGUAGAACCAUUCACCUAUCUUCAGUGAUCCAUG